AAAAAGAAAAACAUCCAUUCAUGAGAGUCCAGGGAUACAUGAAAAUAAAGCAAAUGGGGAAAGACCCAUUCACAUUCCUCCAAAAGAUCUGCUGCUCCCUGGAAUCAUGUUCCUGGCUCCUGGUAGUCCCCAACUUUACCUGUCUGUUCCAGGAACUUGCUUUAUGGCAACUUGCUCUGGUGAUUAGUUUGGACAACCAACCUCAGACAAUAUUCAACAUCCUGUAAUCAUCAUAGCGUUCUAGAGGUCGGUAAGUCUAAUAUCAAGGUGCCAACAUCAGGCAUCAUGGCCAGCACUGUGCUUGUGAAUCUGUACCACCACUUCUCUCAUCUAUGCUUCUGUCCACAGCACUGCACUGGAGCCAGAAGAUGGAUACCUGGCAAUUGUACGUCCUGUGAAGAAAAAGAGGAGGAUGCGUUGCUUCCCUUAUGUAUCCUUAAGGGAUAGUCCAAAGGAAAAGUUAAAUAAUAGAUGAACAAUCAAUCAUAGAUACCCAAUUGAUUUCCCAAUCAAUUACUACUUCCUGUGUUGGAUUUGUUCACUUUUAGCCAUAGUUACACUUUGAAUUUCUAUAUUUCCAAGGUGAGCUCUUUUUUUCUAAAGAAGUUCCUCAAUUUUUUUGUGUAAGUAGUCUUCUGAGGAGUCUAUUUCAUUAAUUUUUGUGAUACAUUUAAUCACCCCAGGACUACAAUAUUUAAGCUGAAUUUAAAUUAUUCAUAAUAUAAUAAACUCUCUCUCUUUCUUUCUUUAUAUUUCAUUACAUAUAU
Molecule: long non-coding RNA, 767 nt
Organism: Cebus imitator (Panamanian white-faced capuchin)
Lineage: Eukaryota; Metazoa; Chordata; Mammalia; Primates; Cebidae
Exons: 4
Source: RefSeq, a predicted model, not a curated record